CUAUGUCCAUGUUCUGGUUCCGUGGCAGCGAUGAAUCUCCAAUGGCUUGGGACUGACGUGUUGGUCGUUUGUUCAUUUUUUGUUCUUUGAACGUUGUGCUCCAUUUCUAUCUAUCAAUUGACAUGCAGUCCUCCUUUAAGUAUGUCACUAUGCUUUUAGAACGGAUAAAAAGAAUUAAUGCAAGGGAAUAAAACUUCAAACGGUAACAACAUUGGUCAGAAAAAUAACUCAAUUCAAGAAAAGGUUACAACUGAUAGCAUGCUCGAUGUCUAUAGGGCAGCCAGUAUCAUACAAUUCACGAGGCUCAGCUAGAAAUGGGCUGAAAAAGAAUACGAACCCGGGGACUGAAAUUUUCACCCAUCUGAAUCGAGGCGUCAACUCACGUUAUUCACCCUAACCUACGAUCAGAAUAUCACUUCCAUAAGCACAUACGUUUCUAUGAACAUACAGACUCAUUGAUUUACGGAAACAACAUGAAGGCAAGUGGAACUCCAACAAUUUAAUUAUAGUGCCAAGUCAUCCUCGGCUCACAUCAUGUAAGCAGUUUUCUGUGUACGAACUAUUUGAAUUGUGUAACUUCCCCACCAAUAUGUGCCCAAAAACUGUUAACAAGGGGCAAGGUCGUAAACAGAAACGAUCAUUACUGUGAUUUUUACACAUAACCUUAACAUCUAUGUAUUCUAAGGAAGUACCAUUACCAUCAGGACGGUUUGUUCAGCUAACUGAAGCUUACUUUGUAGGAGUAUAAUGGUAAAAACAUCAACAUAUAUUUGCUACAAGGCUAGGUAGCAUCGUUAAAAACAAACAAAAAGGCUGAAAACUGGCUCUCCAGUGUCAUAGUACCUGUGCAGAUUGCAUAACUGAGCAGCUUUGAACUAGAGAUUCGUCACUGAUGCAUCAUGCCCUGAAAUCAAUCCCAGUGCCGUACAGAACCUGCGACCAUGGAACACAAAGCUGCAGGUAAGCCACUCUCGAGCACUAGAAGGUCCUAUAACACGAAUGAUCCCGGGGAGAAACUCCGGACUCGUCAAUUUCGUCGAACACCUACCGCGCCCUCGUGAGAGCAGACGACUUCGCCUGCGUGAAUCACGCGUCCGAGGCCAGGGCAAUGGCAGCCCACGCUUCGGCGCGUUCCAUCCAGUGCAGGACCGGGCCGCGCAGGAUCACCCGCGAGAGCGAGCGGCUGCACCGCACGGCUCGGUGGCGCGGAAGGCACGCGUGAAUCGGACGCCGAUCCCGCAGCCGCGGCGGUGGUGGGCGCGAGAGGAGUCGGGGAACGCGUCGAUCGGGGUGGGCGCGGAUAGGAGCCCAGCGGGGUAAUCGGUGAGGAUGAGAAGGUGCCGUCCGAUCGGCGAGGGAGGCGGCGGAGGGGGUGGCGCCGCCGCCGCCGCCGCGGUGGAGUGCGAGGGACACUGCGCGGCGCGGCGUGUGUGCUUUGGCAGUUUGGGGUCUCGCUAGCGGGCAGCGGCGGGAAGAGCGCCUCGCCUCGGUCUGACCAACGCGAGGUGUCCCUGG
Molecule: long non-coding RNA, 1515 nt
Filed under: Hordeum vulgare
Lineage: Eukaryota; Viridiplantae; Streptophyta; Magnoliopsida; Poales; Poaceae
Description: long non-coding RNA (HVUL_LNC010821)
Source: RNAcentral